AGGUUCUUUAAAUUUAAAAAAUUUGGCGGUGAUUUAGUCUAGUUAGAGGAACCUGUUUUUUAAUCGAUACACCACGUAGAAUCUUACUAAUUUUUAUUUAGUUUGUAUACCAUCAUUGGCAGAUAAUUUUAAUAAAGGAUUAAUUAUUAAUUAUAAAUGAUUAUGUAAAUUAGAUCAAGGUGCGGCUAAUAAAUUAGUUAAAAUGGGUUACAAUAAAUUUUAUUUAAAUGGAUUAUAUUAUGAAAUUAGUUUAUAAAGGGGGAUUUAAUAGUAAUAUAAGUUUAAUAAGCUUAUGGA
RNAcentral lists this ribosomal RNA (297 nucleotides) under Potamonemus asylos. RNAcentral's name for it is "partial 12S ribosomal RNA". Lineage: Eukaryota; Metazoa; Arthropoda; Malacostraca; Decapoda; Potamonautidae. The record is from RNAcentral.